This 620-nucleotide long non-coding RNA is filed under the name Rhinopithecus bieti (black snub-nosed monkey). Its description in RNAcentral is "lncRNA (ENSRBIG00000046027.1)". Lineage: Eukaryota; Metazoa; Chordata; Mammalia; Primates; Cercopithecidae. The record is from RNAcentral.
CUCUCUCGCUAUUCCCGAAAAGGGGGAAAGGAUUUCGGGUGGGCAGUCCUGAAGCCUCUCACUGGCCUUGUGGAGAGAGAGGGCUGGAGUGGAGGAGAGCCCUGGGGAGCAGGCCCAGGACAUUCUCUCUGGGACCCCUGAGCCCAUCUAACCUCCAGUCCAUCCAUCAACUGAUUACUGCUCAGUCACCUCAGACGAUGCCACUGGGAGCCGGAGAACUGCCUUGCUGAACCCUGCCUGAAUGCCUGACUCAUAACUCAUGGUGUCAGUGAAAGUGAAUACCCAGCCACAGCCAGGCAGGCACUGAGACAUCAAAGCAGCCAAGUGCCGCCCUGACGUUGAGCCUGCUGAGUGCUGCGAGGCUGCUGCUGUUGGCUCUGCGUGAUCAGGGGAGCGGAGAUCAAAGGUUUCCAUUAUGUGCUGAAAUACCCGAAGUUGGAAAACACCACAAGAAAGCCUUGGUCAGCCUGGCGAGAGGACCCUGCCAGCUGCACACCCAGGGAGGACUGCUCAGGCAGCUCCACAUGCUGCCAGCCUUGUGCGAAAGGUGAGCUUGUGGUUUCCAGUUACAGUAGGUGCCACUUCAUGUUGCAACCCCGGGUGGCCCCAGUCACCCAGUA